Molecule: ribosomal RNA, 342 nt
Filed under: uncultured archaeon
Lineage: Archaea
Description: bacterial SSU rRNA
Rfam family: Archaeal small subunit ribosomal RNA
Source: RNAcentral
AGCAUCCGUAGCCGGCUAAGCAAGUCUCCGGUUAAAUCCACAUGCUCAACAGGUGGGCUGCUGGAGAUACUACAAAGUUAGGGAGCGGGAGAGGCAGACGGUAUUCGGGGGGUAGGGGUAAAAUCCUCUGAUCCUCCGAGGACCACCAGUGGCGAAGGCGGUCUGCCAGAACGCGUUCGACGGUGAGGGAUGAAAGAUGGGGGAGCAAACCGGAUUAGAUACCCGGGUAGUCCCAGCUGUAAACGAUGCAAACUCGGUGAUGCGUUGGCUUAUGGCCAACGCAGUGCCGCAGGGAAGCCGUUAAGUUUGCCGCCUGGGAAGUACGGCCGCAAGACUGAAACU